RNAcentral lists this ribosomal RNA (1038 nucleotides) under uncultured archaeon. RNAcentral describes it as "bacterial SSU rRNA". It matches the Rfam family "Archaeal small subunit ribosomal RNA", at positions 36 to 1079 of the family's 1478-position model. The record is from RNAcentral.
GAUUGCGACUAAGCCAUGCUAGUCCAGGGGGUUUUCGGACCACCGGCGCAUCGCUCAGUAACACGUUGUUAACUUGCCCUUAGGUUUGGGAUAGCUUUGGGAAACUGAAGGUAAACCCGGAUAGGCGAAUCGUUCUGGAAAGAAUUUUCGUUCAAAAGCAAUGCCUAAGGAUAGGACAGCGGUCGAUUAGGUUGAUGGUGGGGUAACGGCCCACCAUGCCGAUGAUCGGUAGGGGCCUUGGAAGAGGGAGCCCCGAGAAGGGAACUGAGAUAUUUUCCCUAGCCCUACGGGGUGCGGCAGGCGCGAAACCUUUACAAUGCACGAAAGUGUGAUAAGGGCAAUCCACGUGCUCAUACACAGUAUGGGCUUUUGAUAAGUGUAAAUAGCUUGCCGAAUAAGGGGUGGGUAAGACUGGUGCCAGCCGCCGCGGUAACACCAGCGCCCCGAGUGGGAGCCGUUUUUAUUGGGCCUAAAGCGUCCGUAGCAGGUCGAGCAAAUCUUUCGUGAAAUUGUUCAGCUUAACUGAACAGCGUGCGGGAGACACUACUUAACUAGGGACCGGGAGGAGUGAAAGGUAUUUCGGGGGGAGCGGUAAAAUGCUAUAAUCCUCGAAGGACCACCGAUGGCGAAGGCAUUUCACCAGAACGGAUCCGACUGUGAGGGACGAAAGCUAGGGGAGCGAACCGGAUUAGAUACCCGGGUAGUCCUGGCCGUAAACGCUGCGAGCUAGAUGUUGCGUAAACCUCGAGUUUGCGCAGUAUCGAAGCGAAGGCGAUAAGCUCGCCGCCUGGGAAGUAUGGUCGCAAGGCUGAAACUUAAAGGAAUAGGCGGGGGAGCACUACAAGGGGUGCGGCGUGCGGUUUAAUCUAACUUUACACAGAGAAUCUCACCAGGAGCGACGGCAGGAUGAAAGUCAGACUAAAGGUUUUACUUGACGAGCCGAGAGGUGGUGCAUGGCGGCCGUCAGCUCGUGCCGUAAGGGUCCAGUUAAGUCUGGUAACGAGCGAGACCUGUGCUUACAAUUGCCAGCAUGUGCUU